CUGUACAGGGGGAGUAACAGUCNGAAAUGACUGCUAAUACCGCAUAAGACCACAGCACCGCAUGGUGCAGGGGUAAAAACUCCGGUGGUACAGGAUGGACCCGCGUCUGAUUAGCUGGUUGGUGAGGUAACGGCUCACCAAGGCGACGAUCAGUAGCCGGCUUGAGAGAGUGAACGGCCACAUUGGGACUGAGACACGGCCCAAACUCCUACGGGAGGCAGCAUG
This 225-nucleotide ribosomal RNA is filed under the name uncultured bacterium. RNAcentral describes it as "partial 16S ribosomal RNA". It matches the Rfam family "Bacterial small subunit ribosomal RNA", at positions 131 to 353 of the family's 1533-position model. The record is from RNAcentral.